ACAGCAGCCGCCGCGGUAAUACGAGGGGGGCAAGCGUUGUUCGGAAUUAUUGGGCGUAAAGGGUGCGUAGGCGGUUUCGUAAGUCUGUUGUGAAAUCUAUGGGCUCAACCCAUAGUCUGCAUCGGAAACUGCGAGGCUUGAGAGUGGGAGAGGUGAGUGGAAUUUCCGGUGUAGCGGUGAAAUGCGUAGAUAUCGGAAGGAACACCUGUGGCGAAAGCGGCUCACUGGACCAUUUCUGACGCUGAUGCUCGAAAGCGUGGGGAGCGAACAGGAUUAGAUACCCGCGUAGUCCCUGUCUCUUAUAC
Molecule: ribosomal RNA, 305 nt
Filed under: uncultured bacterium
Lineage: Bacteria
Description: partial 16S ribosomal RNA
Rfam family: Bacterial small subunit ribosomal RNA
Source: RNAcentral